GGCUUUGUAACUCAGCUGAUAGAGCGCUUGCCGUGUUGAGGCCAGGUGUUUCUGUCGCUGGUUCGAAUCCAGUCGAAGCCC
This 81-nucleotide transfer RNA is filed under the name Paragonimus skrjabini miyazakii. Its description in RNAcentral is "Paragonimus miyazakii tRNA". It matches the Rfam family "tRNA". From Rfam's summary of the family: Transfer RNA (tRNA) molecules are approximately 80 nucleotides in length. Their secondary structure includes four short double-helical elements and three loops (D, anti-codon, and T loops). The record is from Rfam by way of RNAcentral. Lineage: Eukaryota; Metazoa; Platyhelminthes; Trematoda; Plagiorchiida; Troglotrematidae.